CGUGCUGCGUCUGGUCGAACGGGGGCUGCGCGUCUGGAUCGUGCGGGGCUGAGGGGCAGGGGACGAGCGGACGCGGGAGGCGGCGAGCACUGCCGGCAGCCACUGAGGCGGCGAGCCGGCGCGGGGACGGGGAGUAAACCUGUCUGGCUCAGGCUGUCGCGGGGACGGGAGGCGGCGAGUAGGCGGACCGGAUGAGGUGACGAGCGCAGCAGCGGGCAGGGCGGCAAACCGGUAGGGGACGAGCGGACGACGGGACGAGAUGGCGAGCGCGUCGGGUCGAGUAGCAGAGGGGCGAGACGACCGAGGACGAGAGGCGGUGCGCGACCUGACCAGAGACGUAGGGUCCUAACUUUAUUUUCUACUUCUCUAUAAAAAGUAGGCACCGGCGUUGUCUUCACAGAUGGAGGAACAUCAUGAUUCAAAAGUUGAAACAUAUUACAAUCAACAAAGUGAACUAUAAAUACAGAAGAGAAUACUUUCAAAUGAAAACUAAAAGAGAUUCCACAACGGAGAAGAAGGUGGCAACUAGUUCAAUAUCUUCUGUGACUACUUCGUUCGGUAACUAAACCAUAAAAAAAAUAGAUAAAACAACAUAGAGAUUC
RNAcentral lists this ribosomal RNA (602 nucleotides) under Triticum aestivum (bread wheat). RNAcentral describes it as "partial small subunit ribosomal RNA". The record is from RNAcentral. Lineage: Eukaryota; Viridiplantae; Streptophyta; Magnoliopsida; Poales; Poaceae.